UGAAUUAGUGAAGGCUACAGAGCUGAGAA
This 29-nucleotide non-coding RNA is filed under the name Mus musculus (house mouse). Lineage: Eukaryota; Metazoa; Chordata; Mammalia; Rodentia; Muridae. The record is from RNAcentral.